This 255-nucleotide ribosomal RNA is filed under the name uncultured Gardnerella sp. RNAcentral's name for it is "partial 16S ribosomal RNA". It matches the Rfam family "Bacterial small subunit ribosomal RNA", at positions 99 to 354 of the family's 1533-position model. The record is from RNAcentral. Lineage: Bacteria; Bacillati; Actinomycetota; Actinomycetes; Bifidobacteriales; Bifidobacteriaceae.
CGAACGGUGAGUAAUGCGUGACCAACCUGCCCCAUGCUCCAGAAUAGCUCUUGGAAACGGGUGGUAAUGCUGGAUGCUCCAACUUGACGCAUGUCUUGUUGGGAAAGUGUUUAGUGGCAUGGGAUGGGGUCGCGUCCUAUCAGCUUGUAGGCGGGGUAAUGGCCCACUUAGGCUUCGACGGGUAGCCGGCCUGAGAGGGCGGACGGCCACAUUGGGACUGAGAUACGGCCCAGACUCCUACGGGAGGCAGCAGAA